This 1520-nucleotide ribosomal RNA is filed under the name Klebsiella pneumoniae. RNAcentral's name for it is "bacterial SSU rRNA". It matches the Rfam family "Bacterial small subunit ribosomal RNA". Lineage: Bacteria; Pseudomonadati; Pseudomonadota; Gammaproteobacteria; Enterobacterales; Enterobacteriaceae. The record is from RNAcentral.
AGAGUUUGAUCAUGGCUCAGAUUGAACGCUGGCGGCAGGCCUAACACAUGCAAGUCGAGCGGUAGCACAGAGAGCUUGCUCUCGGGUGACGAGCGGCGGACGGGUGAGUAAUGUCUGGGAAACUGCCUGAUGGAGGGGGAUAACUACUGGAAACGGUAGCUAAUACCGCAUAACGUCGCAAGACCAAAGUGGGGGACCUUCGGGCCUCAUGCCAUCAGAUGUGCCCAGAUGGGAUUAGCUAGUAGGUGGGGUAACGGCUCACCUAGGCGACGAUCCCUAGCUGGUCUGAGAGGAUGACCAGCCACACUGGAACUGAGACACGGUCCAGACUCCUACGGGAGGCAGCAGUGGGGAAUAUUGCACAAUGGGCGCAAGCCUGAUGCAGCCAUGCCGCGUGUGUGAAGAAGGCCUUCGGGUUGUAAAGCACUUUCAGCGGGGAGGAAGGCGGUAAGGUUAAUAACCUUGUCGAUUGACGUUACCCGCAGAAGAAGCACCGGCUAACUCCGUGCCAGCAGCCGCGGUAAUACGGAGGGUGCAAGCGUUAAUCGGAAUUACUGGGCGUAAAGCGCACGCAGGCGGUCUGUCAAGUCGGAUGUGAAAUCCCCGGGCUCAACCUGGGAACUGCAUUCGAAACUGGCAGGCUAGAGUCUUGUAGAGGGGGGUAGAAUUCCAGGUGUAGCGGUGAAAUGCGUAGAGAUCUGGAGGAAUACCGGUGGCGAAGGCGGCCCCCUGGACAAAGACUGACGCUCAGGUGCGAAAGCGUGGGGAGCAAACAGGAUUAGAUACCCUGGUAGUCCACGCCGUAAACGAUGUCGAUUUGGAGGUUGUGCCCUUGAGGCGUGGCUUCCGGAGCUAACGCGUUAAAUCGACCGCCUGGGGAGUACGGCCGCAAGGUUAAAACUCAAAUGAAUUGACGGGGGCCCGCACAAGCGGUGGAGCAUGUGGUUUAAUUCGAUGCAACGCGAAGAACCUUACCUGGUCUUGACAUCCACAGAACUUUCCAGAGAUGGAUUGGUGCCUUCGGGAACUGUGAGACAGGUGCUGCAUGGCUGUCGUCAGCUCGUGUUGUGAAAUGUUGGGUUAAGUCCCGCAACGAGCGCAACCCUUAUCCUUUGUUGCCAGCGGUCCGGCCGGGAACUCAAAGGAGACUGCCAGUGAUAAACUGGAGGAAGGUGGGGAUGACGUCAAGUCAUCAUGGCCCUUACGACCAGGGCUACACACGUGCUACAAUGGCAUAUACAAAGAGAAGCGACCUCGCGAGAGCAAGCGGACCUCAUAAAGUAUGUCGUAGUCCGGAUUGGAGUCUGCAACUCGACUCCAUGAAGUCGGAAUCGCUAGUAAUCGUAGAUCAGAAUGCUACGGUGAAUACGUUCCCGGGCCUUGUACACACCGCCCGUCACACCAUGGGAGUGGGUUGCAAAAGAAGUAGGUAGCUUAACCUUCGGGAGGGCGCUUACCACUUUGUGAUUCAUGACUGGGGUGAAGUCGUAACAAGGUAACCGUAGGGGAACCUGCGGUUG